GGAUGAAAGACGGUUUCGGCUGCUCACUUACAGAUGGACCACGCGGCGCAUUAGCUAGUUGGUGGGGUAAUGGCUCUAACCAAGGCGACACGAUUGCGUAGCCAUACCUGUAGAGGGUGAAUCGGCCACACUGGGACUGAGACACGGCCCAGACUCCUACGGGAGGCAGCAGUAGGGAAUCUUCCGCAAUGGACGAAAGUCUGACGGAGCAACGCCGCGUGAGUAAUGAAGGUUUUCGGAUCGUAAAGCUCUG
This 253-nucleotide ribosomal RNA is filed under the name uncultured Bacillus sp. Its description in RNAcentral is "partial 16S ribosomal RNA". It matches the Rfam family "Bacterial small subunit ribosomal RNA", at positions 198 to 435 of the family's 1533-position model. The record is from RNAcentral. Lineage: Bacteria; Bacillati; Bacillota; Bacilli; Caryophanales; Bacillaceae.